RNAcentral lists this ribosomal RNA (380 nucleotides) under uncultured cyanobacterium. RNAcentral describes it as "bacterial SSU rRNA". It matches the Rfam family "Bacterial small subunit ribosomal RNA", at positions 376 to 770 of the family's 1533-position model. Lineage: Bacteria; Bacillati; Cyanobacteriota. The record is from RNAcentral.
CGCAAGCCUGACGGAGCAAGACCGCGUGGGGGAGGAAGGCUCUUGGGUUGUAAACCCCUUUUCUCAGGGAAGAACCAAAUGACGGUACCUGAGGAAUCAGCCUCGGCUAACUCCGUGCCAGCAGCCGCGGUAAUACGGAGGAGGCAAGCGUUAUCCGGAAUGAUUAGGCGUAAAGCGUUCGUAGGUGGCUAUUCAAGUCUGCUGUCAAAGACAGAAGCUCAACUUCUGAAAGGCAGUGGAAACUGAGUAGCUGGAGUGCGGUAGGGGCAGAGGGAAUUCCCGGUGUAGCGGUGAAAUGCGUAGAGAUCGGGAAGAACACCGGUGGCGAAAGCGCUCUGCUGGGCCGCAACUGACACUGAGGGACGAAAGCUAGGGGAGCG